RNAcentral lists this ribosomal RNA (468 nucleotides) under uncultured bacterium. RNAcentral's name for it is "partial 16S ribosomal RNA". It matches the Rfam family "Bacterial small subunit ribosomal RNA", at positions 28 to 507 of the family's 1533-position model. The record is from RNAcentral.
GACGAACGCUGGCGGCGUGCUUAACACAUGCAAGUCGAACGGAAAGGCCCUGCUUUUGUGGGGUGCUCGAGUGGCGAACGGGUGAGUAACACGUGAGUAACCUGCCCUUGACUUUGGGAUAACUUCAGGAAACUGGGGCUAAUACCGGAUAGGAGCUCCUGCUGCAUGGUGGGGGUUGGAAAGUUUCGGCGGUUGGGGAUGGACUCGCGGCUUAUCAGCUUGUUGGUGGGGUAGUGGCUUACCAAGGCUUUGACGGGUAGCCGGCCUGAGAGGGUGACCGGCCACAUUGGGACUGAGAUACGGCCCAGACUCCUACGGGAGGCAGCAGUGGGGAAUAUAGCACAAUGGGCGGAAGUCUGAUGCAGCAACGCCGCGUGCGGGAUGACGGCCUUCGGGUUGUAAACCGCUUUCGCCUGUGACGAAGCGUGAGUGACGGUAAUGGGUAAAGAAGCACCGGCUAACUACGUG